This 590-nucleotide ribosomal RNA is filed under the name Lactobacillus amylovorus. RNAcentral's name for it is "bacterial SSU rRNA". It matches the Rfam family "Bacterial small subunit ribosomal RNA", at positions 44 to 601 of the family's 1533-position model. Lineage: Bacteria; Bacillati; Bacillota; Bacilli; Lactobacillales; Lactobacillaceae. The record is from RNAcentral.
GUGCCUAAUACAUGCAAGUCGAGCGAGCGGAACCAACAGAUUUACUUCGGUAAUGACGUUGGGAAAGCGAGCGGCGGAUGGGUGAGUAACACGUGGGGAACCUGCCUCUAAGUCUGGGAUACCAUUUGGAAACAGGUGCUAAUACCGGAUAAUAAAGCAGAUCGCAUGAUCAGCUUUUGAAAGGCGGCGUAAGCUGUCGCUAAGGGAUGGCCCCGCGGUGCAUUAGCUAGUUGGUAAGGUAACGGCUUACCAAGGCGACGAUGCAUAGCCGAGUUGAGAGACUGAUCGGCCACAUUGGGACUGAGACACGGCCCAAACUCCUACGGGAGGCAGCAGUAGGGAAUCUUCCACAAUGGACGCAAGUCUGAUGGAGCAACGCCGCGUGAGUGAAGAAGGUUUUCGGAUCGUAAAGCUCUGUUGUUGGUGAAGAAGGAUAGAGGUAGUAACUGGCCUUAAUUUGACGGUAAUCAACCAGAAAGUCACGGCUAACUACGUGCCAGCAGCCGCGGUAAUACGUAGGUGGCAAGCGUUGUCCGGAUUAAUUGGGCGUAAAGCGAGCGCAGGCGGAAAAAUAAGUCUAAUGUGAAAGC